Molecule: non-coding RNA, 1022 nt
Organism: Meleagris gallopavo (turkey)
Lineage: Eukaryota; Metazoa; Chordata; Aves; Galliformes; Phasianidae
Source: RefSeq, a predicted model, not a curated record
GAAUACAAAAAGAGUUAUUUUCCUUCUGAGGUCUGUAUUUGCAAUAAAUAAUGAGAUGAAGAUCCAGCAGAUUAGAAGUAGCCAAAUGGAGCUCCAGUGUAAUGUAAUAAUGAAAAUCUCCUGGAAGCUGAAGAAACUGGAGUAUCUUGAGCCUGGUGUGUGAAAUCAAGCAUCUGGAAAACCUUGGAGGCUCCACAAAGAUGUGACUGAUGGGAAGGAAGAAUUCUAUACUCACACAGCAGAGGAUUCCAAACUGUCUGUGUUUGGGGGAAAUGGAAGAUUUAUGUAGCAGUUAACAUGGAGCUGUUUCAGCAAUCACUGUGAAAAACAGUGAUGAACUGCAGUCAAGAUACAGAAGCCAACAAGCAAGUCUGCCCUAGUACUCAAGGGAUGAUCAUCAAAUAUUGUAGAAAGCAGUGGAAGUCAGGAGAAAUAUCUGAUACAGAAGUUCACAGCUAGGGAAGAAGUCUUCACCAGAUUUCCCUGCUUUCCUAUGGGGGCACGAGACCAUCAGAACUUGGAUUUUCGCCUUUAAGAAGCUCAUUAUGCUGAUUUUCAUGCAACCUAAGACUAAAGAUGGAUUCUGGGGAUCAUUUCAGAGUAAUACACUUGCAUAUGUAGAUAUGUAGCCUCUCCUGUAAAUGAGCGUAGAUCCAUUAUUGAUAAUAAUGAAAAGGGAGUGCAGAGAUUCUGAUCUUCAACUCUAGAAUGGCACCUCUGUAUCUCAAAUAGUCCCAUUUGAGUUAGCAGUGUAUUAACCCCACUAUGUAGUUUGAACUUUAUCUGUGAAUAGCUUCAGGUCCUCCAUCAGUUCUGUCUUGUGGAUUUUUUUCAUGGAUGCAUCACAUCAUAAAAACAGCAAUGCAAACUAUAAUCAGAAGGGAGACAGAAACCAAAAUCUGAGUAAAGGAUAAAUAAGUUUCAUAGAUUCUAUGCUGCAACCAUUUAAUUUACACCCAUCUCUAUGUAGGAAACAAAUCUGCACCAAAAAGUAAAAUUGUCUGCAGGUUAUUAUAUAAAUA